UUGCUUUUCCUUCCCCUCAUUUAGUGCUAUAUUUUGGUUUUUGCAACAGAAUUUAGUAUUAUUCAUCCCCACUUCUCUCUAUCUCUCCCUCUCUCAGCAGCUAGCUAAACAAACAAUGGAAAACUUAAAAACUUUCUUCUUCACCGCCAUUUCUCAAACUCCGGUAACCUGCAACACGACCUACGCCAAUGAAUCUAGGAUGAGCCGAUCUACAAAACCCAUAUGGCCAUACGACGGGAAAUUAGCUAACGCGGCAUCACCAACGAACAGCUGCCGAUCAUGUCUACUUCCUCGGGUCCCCCAUCUUCUGCAAAAGGAGAUGGAUUCGUUUCCGCUGCCAAGGAAGUUUCAUUGCUUGAUCAAGGAAGUCAGGGGAGGAGUUGUGUUCCCCAAACAGGUGAAAAAUUACAUCUCCUGAUUGACUAUUGUUACUUGCUCAUGAGAUUGAUCAUUCUUCACAUUUUUGGUUUUCCCUUCUUCCAGGAGAUUGAGUUUCUCAGUUGGCUUGAACACAAGAACAUAGUUCAAUUUCAGCUUGAGUCUUUGAAUGUUUACAAACUCUAAAGUGUUUUGGUCAUGCUAUGAUAUUUUGUGGUUAAAUAUAAGAUUUAGCUUAACAUUAUAUGAAGUGAUGUGAUAUGCAGGUUCAUUUUUUGUCAAGAAAGAUGGUUUACUUGGCCUUGGUUUUGUUAAGAUAUCUUUCAUUUAGCAAAGAGGAUUCUUUGAUGGAUUUGCUUAGUAAGCUGGUUUAUGGAGACCUGACCCAAGUACGGGAUAGCCAGGCCAAAAGAGGGCCCUUUCUUUUUGAAGAUCAAGUACGACAAGUAUCCGGCAAUUGAUGUCAGCGCCUGUAGUAAGAUCAAGUCCGACGAGAUUCAGGUUUUACCUGCAGAAAUAGGCAGCAUAAGAGGAAGCCAUGUGGAACUCAAAAGGGGGAAGUCAUACCAGCCAGUUUGAGUCCAUCGUUUUCUGCACCGGAUUCAAGACAUCAACAAGUUUGUGGCUCAAGGCAGAUGAUUAUCUUUUGAAAGAAGAUGGGAUUCCAAGACCAAGUUCUCCAAACCAUUCGAAGGGACAGAAGGGUUUGUAUUGUGUGGGACUAUCAAGAAGCAAUUUCCGUUUUUUAUAUGUUCUGUGGUCAUUUUGUGAGGAUGCCUACUUUCUUCAUCACUUGAACCAUUUAUUUGUGAAGGCAUGGUUUGGAUGAUCUUAUGUUCCAUGUAAUUGUUCCCUUGCAUCUAGAUGAGAAGUGAAUUGUAUUGUAAUCAUAAGAACCGAGGAAAUGGUGGACCACAAUUAAUUAAUUAAUUAGCAUCACUGAUCAUAAAUACUUGGUCUGCACUGCAAAACCUCACUUAGUUUCACUGAUCAUACACAGGCCUGAAAUGCACUUCUUUGUUGUCUGCUUUCCUUCGAGUAAUAUAGUAUCAUUCUGCAGAAAUCACGAUCCAAGUUGAUCUUUGUUUCAUUUGUUUAUAGUUAUGAUUUAAUAGUCAACCUGUAGUUCUAAUUAGAAUGAAGUACAGAUUCAUAAGACAUAAUGUCUUGGUAUCUGUUGAUUAUUUUUGUUUAUUCAUUGAUGGUUUUAUUAUUUCUCGCUCUAAUGAUAUUUCCACAAUGAUUGGCUUCUAACGCCUUAUGGUUUUAUCUGUAGUUUGGAGCCAAAAUUUGUUUAAUCACCUCUCUUCGGGAUACUUGCUACAUUGAGAUCCUUCCUAAAGACAGGAAUCCUACACAAGAGCUUUGGCUGAGCUUUUGGAGCAAAGUGCAUUACAACUCGCUAUAUGCUACUGCAGAUGUUUCCACAAGAAGACCCAGAAAGAACCAUUGGCUUUUCUAGACUGCAAUUAGCAAGCAGACAGACUGGGAUGUAAUCUUAGUCUGCUUGCUGGUAUCAAUUCUACUGUCUUUGGCAGAAUUAGAAAAUGGGACAGUGCCUUGGUUGUUUCUACGAGGACCAUUCUAUUGAUGAUGUGCUUGAACCAGAUUGUCGUUGUUUGCCUUGGUGUUUAGGUAGCGCAGCAGCUGGUCAUUUCUUUCUACGAGUGCAGCAAUUGGAUAUUCGCUGUGAAACAAAGACCAAGAUUUAUUUUUAAUUUUCUUUAUACACAAAAGAUUGAUAUUAACUUUCUAUACACAGAGCAAGCACUGCACACGCGCUCUAGCCGGAUCUCUUAGUUCUCUCACUAAUGUAAAGACUUUGUGUUGUUUCUCUUAAUUGUCUAUGUAUAUAUUUGUCCUCUGUUGGUUUAGUUAUUUAAGGUGCUUAUGGUUGUUACUUAU
This is a long non-coding RNA of Rosa chinensis, 2283 nucleotides long. RefSeq lists it as uncharacterized. The record is from RefSeq and is a predicted model, not a curated record. Lineage: Eukaryota; Viridiplantae; Streptophyta; Magnoliopsida; Rosales; Rosaceae. The transcript is spliced from 6 exons.